Chelonia mydas (Green sea turtle) is the source of this 6103-nucleotide long non-coding RNA. RefSeq lists it as uncharacterized. The transcript is spliced from 2 exons. The record is from RefSeq and is a predicted model, not a curated record. NCBI's taxonomy places the organism in Eukaryota, Metazoa, Chordata, Testudines, Cheloniidae.
GGGCUGACUACUGCAGGGGAAGGACCUUUGCCUGAAGUGCCAGCUGAAGAGCUGCCACAGCCCUUGCCUGCAAGAGCCAGAGACUCUGCGAGCUGGAUUGGAGGUCUGCAGCCCAAGGAGCCCCAGAGGACCAUCCAUGCUGAGGAGCUUGGAGACCCUGAUGCCCCACAGAUAGCAGCUUCUGGAACUACGAUGGAGACCGAGAAGAUUUUGAAAUGGAUGCUGGAAAGUCAGCGGCAGCAGGCAACCCAGCAGCAGCAAUUAGCAGGCCCAGGAGAUAGCUUGUCAACACCAGCUCCAGAUGACCCAGCAGGAGCAGCAGCAGCUGCUUCGAGAGUUGGCUAUCCAGCACCAGAAUGCCUGAUCCAGCAAAUGGCUGCAUUAAUGUUCCCGACCGGUGCCCCAAACCCCAGCCCAGUUGGACAGGCCCCAUGGGCUCUUCCCCCAAGUCUGCCAAUACGGCUGUCGAAAAUGGGACUUAGUGAUGACUUUGAGGCAUUUUUGGUGACUUUCAAAUGGGUAGCUACCGCUGCCAGGUUGCCACCAGAGCACCGGGCUCCCCUGUUAGCACCCUACCUGACGGGGCCAGCCCAGGCGGCCUACCGGGGGCUAGACCCACAAGACACCCUAGUAUAUUAGAGAGUGAAGGCUACCAUCCUGGACCAUACAGGAAUCAACCCCAACACAUACCGAUGGCGCUUUCACCAAGAAAGGUACCCGCAGGGGGCUAGACCUCGGGUGGUAGCCCGGCAUCUGAGGGACAAUGCCUGGUGAUGGUUAGAGCCAGAGAAACAGUUGGGGGCUCAAGUAGCAGAGACCGUUGUAUUGGAGCAGUUUAUCCAGAUCCUCCUGAGUGGAGGGAAGGAGUGGGUACAGCGGCACCAGCUGAAGGCGCUGAUGGAAGCUGUAGAGCUGAUGGAGGACUCCUUGAUGGCUGAUGGGCGGGAGAUGCAACUGAGGCAACCCGGGAGUCCAAGGAGGAAGAAUAAACCUGGUGAGGGGAACUCUCGCGAAAUGGAUUCAGGGAGAUCAGACCCUCGAAUGCUGGAGCCCAAUCAGCUGAGCCUGGACUGACAAGGUAAAUGGUCCACAAGAAGGGCAGAGCCCACCGAAGACAGAUCCUGGGACUGGAGGAACCCAAGGCCAUUGCUGGGAGUGUGGCCAAGAGGGGCACUUUCGGCAGGACUGCAGUUAUGGGCAAGUCUGCAUGGCUGGCACCUGAGUCCAGAGGAAAGACCCAGAAAAACUUGUAGUCCCGGUGCAAGUAGAAGGAAUCCCCACAACAGCCUUAGUAGACUCAGGCAGGAGUCAGACAAUUAUUUGGGAGAGGCUCGUCUCCAGCCUUGAACUCUCCGGGACGAGUAUACAUCUACAGUGUAUUCACAGAGAUAUACAGCCUUACCCAACUGCCUGGGUAAGACUUGAGAUAUAUGGCCAGGGAGAAACUCUCCAAGUCAGCAUGGCUCCCAGGCUAGCCUACCCCAUGGUUAGGGCAAGACUGGCCAUAAUUUUGGGAAAUCCUGCAAGGCCACAGCCACCAACAUCUGGGAGGGGGAGGUGCAGGAUCAAUGAGGGGGGACUCCAUGGCCACCCUGCAGAAGCCGAUCCUGGAGAAGGGCUGUCUAAACCCCCAGAGCCGCCCACCGAGUCCCCUCCAGGCACAGGACACCCUGUCGAAGAUGCCCAGGCGGAGUUGGAGCGUGACAGAUUUCGUCCAAUAGCAAAGGGAAGAUCCAACUUUAAGCUGGGCCUGGGAGCAGGCAACCACCCCAGACCAAGAGGGGGACGAUACACCACACCCGCCUCAAGGACCACGGUUCGAGAUCCGGAGGGACCACCUCUACCGGGUGGUACAAGAACGCCAAAUGUAAGAAGUUAUCUGACAGCGCUUGGUGCCCUGGAGAUUGUGCCAGAGCCUCCUGCAGCUGGCUCACACAGUACCCUAGGCAGGGCACCUGGGUAGAGAGAAGACCCUCCAGAGGAUAGCACACCACUUUUUUUUGGCCUGGCAUACACCAGGAAGUAAGAGAUUAUUGCGCUUCCUGCCCUGAGUGCCAGUGGGCCGGACCGAAAGGAGUGCCCCUCUCGUACCUCUCCCCAUCAUAGGCAUGCCAUUUGAACGAGUUGGUAUGGAUCUCGUAGGGCAGGUAGAGAAGAGUGAAACAGGGAACCAGUUCAUCCUCGUACUGGUCAAUUAUGCAACAGGCUACCCUGAGGCUACCCCCUUCCACACGGCUACGGCCCCUAACAUCGCGACAGAACUAGUGAAGAUUUUCACUUCAGUUGGGAUAUCCAAAGAGAUCCUGACCAGUCAGGGCACUAAUGUGUCCUCCAAAUUGAUAGCUGACUUAUGCCACCUCAUGAACAUCCAGACUUCAGUGUACCACGCACAAACUGAUGUUAGUCGAAUGCUUUAAUGGAAUCCUUAAGUCAAUGCUCUGCAAGUUUGUAGAAGAUGACCCCUGACAUUCGGACUCGCUGUUGCCCGCCUUAUUGUUCGCAAUGCGGGAGGUCCCUCAAGCCUCCACUGGGUUCUCUCCCUUUGAGCUCCUCUAGGAGAGACAACCCCAGGGCAUCCUUAGUCUCCUGAGAGAAGACUGGGAGGCACAAGAGAUGUGCAUCUUAGGAACUACCCAUUAUGUGUUAUGACUCCGUGAGUGUCUCCAGGCCUUAGGCGCAUUUGCUCGAGAGAACUUGUUAUGGGCCCAGCAAACACAGGAGCAACAAUACAACAAAGGGGCUAGGUUACACGACUUUGAGCCAGGGGACCAGGUUCUACUAUUAUUGCCCUCCGCUGAGUCAAAGCUAUUAGCCAGGUGGCAAGGCCCCUUUGAGGUGUCCCACCGGGUAGGACAAGUGGACUACAAGAUCAGGCUGCUGGGUGGUGGAAGGAGAUAUGCACAUACCACGUGAACUUGCUGAAAGCCUGGAAGGACCAAGAGGCUCUAUUUAUCACUCCUUCACCUCCUGAACCGGAAUUGGGGCCAUUUGUGGGCAGACCCCUGGAUCCAGGGCCAGUGGUAAUGGGAGAGGGCCUUAGCCUGUCACAACAAGAAAAGUUACUGCGUCUCGUACAGGACUUCCAGGAUGGCUUGUCAACGCAUCCAGCACAGACUGACCUCCUAAGUCAUCACAUUGCAACAACACUGGGGCAGAGGGUAAGAGACAACCACUGACCUCUCCCCAGGAAAAUGUGGGACACAGUACGCCAAGAAUUAGAGAUGAUGCUUUAGAUGGGAGUGGUGGAGAAAUCCGGGAGCAAAUGGCGAAGUCUGAUCGCAUUGGUCCCAAAACCUAGGGGGGUCAUCGACUUCUGCAUUGAUUUUCGAAAAGUCAGUGCUAUUUCCCAAUUCGAUGUGUAUCCAAUGCCUCUCAUCGAAGAACUCUUCGGGCAAUUAGGGGGAGCCAAAUAUUUGACCUUGGAUCUAACAAAGGGAUAUUGGCAGAUACCCCUAACAUCUAACUCCCAGGCGAAGACUGCCUUUCCUAUUCCAUAUGGCCUCUUCCACUUCAUAACAAUGCCUUUUGGACUACAUGGGGCAGCCGCUACCUUCCAACAAUUGAUGAACUGAGUACUGCAGCCUCACAACCAAUAGGUGGCGGCAUACAUAGAUGACAUUGAUCUAUAGCAGCAGCUGGGAGGACCACCUUUGACACCUAACCAGUGUUUUCAAGGCCCUUCGGGAAGCAGAUCUCAAGGCCAACCCCGCAAAAUGCCAUCUCAGACAGGCAGAGGUGACCUACUGUGGGUAUAUAGUGGGAGGGGACAAACUACGCCCUCUGACAAGGUGAAGGCUCUAACUGAUACCCCAACACCAACCACGAAAAAGCAAGUGCACCAAUUCCUGGGAUUGGCCAGAUACUAUUGGUGCUUUGUACCAGGCUUCACAACAAUAGCCGCCCCCGCACUCUGACCUGACCAAGAACUCUCAACCCCGACAAGUGCGGUGGUCCAGUAAGUGUGAGGAGGCAUUCCAGACCCUGAAGAAACGGCUAGCUCAGGAACCAGUCCUUGUAUAUCCAGACUUCUCAAAGGACUUCCUACUGCAAACAGAUGCCUCUGAGGUGGGAUUAGGGGCUCUCUUGCCUCAGGAAAUCAAUGAGGAAGAACACCCCGUCUUGUAUCUGAGUCAUAAGCUGUUCCCCAGAGAAACAUAUUACUCAAUGAUCAAGAAGGAGGCCUUGGUGAUAAAGUGGGCUAUUGACACCCUGUGCUCCUAUCUACUCGGCAACACCUUCACAUUGAUUACUGACCAAGCACCCCUCUGGUGGCUGCACAGCAUGAAGGAUACCAACCCCAGGAUUAUUCAUUGCUACCUCUCACUCCAGUCAUAUGAUUUCUGUGUCUGUCAUCAACCUGGUAAGGCUCACACGGGGGCAGGGGGAUGAAUGACAGGGUGUGCUUACCCCGCACUGGAGAGGAAAGGGUUAACCCCACACUAUAGGCAGUGGAAGUCUUGCCCCUCAGGCAGUGCUGGGCAUGUGCCAACUGCUGCCUCAGUAUAAAAGGGAGCAGCCCAGAUCAUUCUGGGCUGACUGCUGGAGGGGAAGGACCUUUGGCCGGAGCUCCUGCUGGAGAGCCGCCACAGGUCUUGCCUGCAAGAGCCAGAGGCCCUGUGAGCCGGAUUGGAGGCCUGGAGUCCAAGGAGCCCCAGAGGACCAUCCACACUGAGGAGUUUAGAGACCCUGACACCCCAAAGACAGCAGCUUCUGGAACUACAGUAGGAAGUGACUCAGGGAGGGUGAGCAAGUGGUAUCUCCCACCCGAGUGAGGUCUGUGUUUCAGUGGGAUUCCCUGCUGACCCAGUGAUGGACUGCUCCAUCACUGUUAGGGCCCUAGGUAGUGACCCUGUGGAGUUGGGUGGGACUGGGCCCCCCUACUCAGGCUGUCACCCCCCUUGUGGCAGCCCCUACCUUCCCCCACCAUAUUGACUCUAGCCAUUAAACUGUAACCUUGGCCUCUGGGCUAUACUGCAGCUGCCCCAAGGGAGACUAACCACAGUGAUAUCACUGCCCUGCCCCAAAGGGAGAUGGGGUGUGCAUACACUGUGACACCUGCCACAGUAGCAGUGUGGGGCUGAAGUAAGCGGCCCUAUGCUGACCUCUUUGCAACCACUGGUAUACUGGGUGGGAGAGGGAGUAGCUGCAGAGCUCAGUGCUAUGGAGAGUUUGGGCUGCAGAUAUUAUGGGAUCAACUGCCAUAAGUUAGGGCAUCCUUUGGGGCUGCUCUAACUUACACUAGAGAACAUUUUGGUCUCUGUGGCAGCCCAGAAUCUUGGUAGUGCACCGAUGUCAUAAAGCCACCCACCGCCACCAUUGGGCUGGUCCUUCUGGCCCUCAGAAUCUGCUGUCUGCAGCUGCAGGCAGCCAUUUGGGGAGAUAGAGUUCCAUGUAGAUAGCUCCUGCAUAGGUACACACCAGGCACUCACUAAUGGAGAUCUUACUUUUAUUUUUUUUAGUUUUGUAGUUCUCUUGAUAUAUAUAAUGUUGCACUUAGAAAAACAUAAUAAGACUAACUCUGCCCAGGAAACACUACAGCAACUUUCUUAUCAGCCCCCCUCUACUCUUUCCUCUAGUAACCCUAUCUGAUCUGUUAAGGCUUCUGAUAGCCACUCCAUUCUUUAUGUAAAAUCCCUCCUCAUUUGCCAUCACCAAGAAUAGAAUCUGUGAUUUCUAGCACCAAAAGUAUGGGUCUGUACUUCUUGAGUUAAAAAAGUAACUCCAUUAUCUGGUACCAGUAGUAGGCUUAAGAUUGUUUCAGUUGGACAAGAGGUGACAUCAUUUCAUUGGUGGGUAUAAAAACAAGUGGAGAGUCAAGCCAUUCACCAAUGGAUCUACUACUAAUUUACACAGCUGUAAGUUAGAGCUGAAUCAGGCCUUCCAUAAUUUUCUUGUUUUGCCUUUGGCAGGAUGGUUAUGGAUACAUGCAGUUGAACAGGCUUCCGUGUCCUUACAGUUAAACAGACAUACUAGAAAUCCCCCCUCCCCCAUUUAGAAGAGUAGAGUCUUCUGUAGUAGUUCUUCUCUGUUCCAGAAAUUACAGUGAAUGUGUAAAGUAAUAGCAGUAAAUAAAAGUAAAGACAUCUUUCAUAUUUGUUCAUAA